RNAcentral lists this unclassified non-coding RNA (106 nucleotides) under Halpernia humi. RNAcentral describes it as "Chryseobacterium humi Flavo-1 RNA". The record is from RNAcentral. Lineage: Bacteria; Pseudomonadati; Bacteroidota; Flavobacteriia; Flavobacteriales; Weeksellaceae.
CUCUUGCAACCCGACUUGAACGGAGCUCUUUUUUAUAUAAUUUUUUAUGCGGUGUGAUAGUUUAAAAAUUUUAUAAAAAAAGCGGGAGUGGAAGGCGGAUUAGUUG